UGUGGAAGCUGGGAUUCCAAUGGCAGGCAGGAAAUCUUGUAGUAGGUGAUCGUGGCCUUCCUUGGGAUCCCUGUUUCCCCCUUUUAUUCCCUUUUCACCCAGUAAAACCCUGCUUUGCUCACUCUUUAAAGCAUCUGUGAGCGUAAAUUUUUGUGGCCAUGGGAUGGACAAGAACCACAUGUUUACCUGAAGUCCUGUGACAUUUUGGUGUGCAGCAUGGGAGCUCCAAAAGUGAUGCCAGAGGAUGCUAUAGAAAAAUGCGUGCCCUCUUGUAAUACUUUGUUCAAGUUCUGAUCAGAAGGAUGAAUGAUGGAGCCCAAGAAGCCAGAGUCUCAUUGUGUUGCUCAGGCUGGAAUCCAGUGGCAUGAUCUCGGCUCAGUGCAACCUCCGCCUCCUGGGUUCAAGCAGUUCUCCUAGAUCAGCAUCAGCGUCCCGAGUAGCUGGGAUUACAGGCACCCGCCACCAUGCCUGGCUAAUGUUGGUCAGGCUGGCUCGAACUCCUGACCUCAAGAGAUCCACCUGCUUUGGCCUCCCAAAGUGCUCGGAUUACAGGCAUGAGCUGCCACACCCAGCCUCCAAAUACUUUUUUUUUAAAUCAAAAUAAUGAUUUCAAUGACUGAGAUCUGUUAUGUAUUUCAACAUAAUCAUGUUUCAUAAAGAUUUAGUCUUCUGAAA
This 675-nucleotide long non-coding RNA is filed under the name Homo sapiens (human). Its description in RNAcentral is "HSALNT0337472". Lineage: Eukaryota; Metazoa; Chordata; Mammalia; Primates; Hominidae. The record is from RNAcentral.